CCUACGGGGGGCAGCAGUGGGGGAUAUUGGACAAUGGGGGAAACCCUGAUCCAGCGACGCCGCGUGAGUGAAGAAGUAUUUCGGUAUGUAAAGCUCUAUCAGCAGGGAAGAAAGAAAUGACGGUACCUGAGUAAGAAGCCCCGGCUAACUACGUGCCAGCAGCCGCGGUAAUACGUAGGGGGCAAGCGUUAUCCGGAAUUACUGGGUGUAAAGGGAGCGUAGACGGUAAUGCAAGUCUGGAGUGAAAGGCGGGGGCCCAACCCCCGGACUGCUCUGGAAACUGUGUAACUGGAGUGCAGGAGAGG
This 305-nucleotide ribosomal RNA is filed under the name uncultured bacterium. RNAcentral's name for it is "partial 16S ribosomal RNA". It matches the Rfam family "Bacterial small subunit ribosomal RNA", at positions 338 to 657 of the family's 1533-position model. The record is from RNAcentral.